Long non-coding RNA from Aegilops tauschii subsp. strangulata, 498 nucleotides. RefSeq lists it as uncharacterized. The record is from RefSeq and is a predicted model, not a curated record. NCBI's taxonomy places the organism in Eukaryota, Viridiplantae, Streptophyta, Magnoliopsida, Poales, Poaceae.
UACUAUAUAAACUACAAGCCGAUGAAGAAGAAAGUAAAACAAUAUGGGCAGCAGCUCCAACAGGGAGAGAAAGACCGUCGCCGUGUUCUCAAGGAUUUCUCAAAGAUGCUUGAUGAUCAGGUAGAAGAUAGCAACAGAGUGGGAAGGUUUGUGCAGAGAUCUUACCUCGAGGUUAUCACAGAUGCGCACAAUAUGACACCGAAUUGGCCAAAAAUAGGGAGCUACAAGAUGAACUUUUAAAGGUUAAGACCUCACUGUCUGCUUCAACGAAGAGAUUUGAAGAGUUGCAAAAGGUAAUUUUGGGGCAAAUUUCCAUUGCUGCAGGAUAAUGAGAUGUUGAAGCGGCAGACUGAAUCCAUGACACCGAAGUGCAAUUGCGGCAGAUUAUCUCUAUUUCUCCUUUUCAUUUUUCUUAUUAUUGGAGUGAGAACAGGUAGAAUGAGGAACUGUGUGAUAGUAGAUACAACAACCGUAGUAGAAAGAAACUUAUGUUUGCAA